This 411-nucleotide ribosomal RNA is filed under the name Bacteroidota bacterium. RNAcentral describes it as "Bacteroidetes bacterium partial 16S ribosomal RNA". It matches the Rfam family "Bacterial small subunit ribosomal RNA", at positions 355 to 776 of the family's 1533-position model. Lineage: Bacteria; Pseudomonadati; Bacteroidota. The record is from RNAcentral.
UGGGGAAUAUUGCGCAAUGGGGGAAACCCUGACGCAGCGACGCCGCGUGCGGGAUGAAGGCCUUCGGGUUGUAAACCGCUUUUGAUUGGGAGCAAGCUUUCGGGUGAGUGUACCUUUCGAAUAAGCGCCGGCUAACUACGUGCCAGCAGCCGCGGUAAUACGUAGGGCGCAAGCGUUAUCCGGAAUUAUUGGGCGUAAAGAGCUUGUAGGCGGUUCGUCGCGUCUGGUGUGAAAGCCCAUCGCUUAACGGUGGGUUUGCGCCGGGUACGGACGAGCUAGAGUGCAGUAGGGGAGACUGGAAUUCUCGGUGUAACGGUGGAAUGUGUAGAUGUCGGGAAGAACACCAAUGGCGAAGGCAGGUCUCUGGGCUGUUACUGACGCUGAGAAGCGAAAGCGUGGGGAGCGAACAGG